This 878-nucleotide ribosomal RNA is filed under the name uncultured bacterium. RNAcentral describes it as "bacterial SSU rRNA". It matches the Rfam family "Bacterial small subunit ribosomal RNA", at positions 8 to 916 of the family's 1533-position model. The record is from RNAcentral.
AGGGUUCGAUCAUGGCUCAGGAUGAACGCUGGCGGUAUGCCUAACACAUGCAAGUCGUACGAGAGUUUUUAACUCUAGUGGCGGACGGGUGAGUAACACGUGAGAAUUUGCCUUUAGGAGGGGGAUAACAAUUGGAAACGACUGCUAAUACCCCAUAUGCUUUCGAGUGAAAUGGAUUUAUAUAUAUAUCCGCCUAAAGAGAAGCUCGCGGCUGAUUAGCUUGUUGGUAAGGUAAGAGCUUACCAAGGCGACGAUCAGUAUCUGGUUUGAGAGGACGAUCAGACACACUGGAACUGAGACACGGUCCAGACUCCUACGGGAGGCAGCAGUGGGGAAUUUUCCGCAAUGGGCGAAAGCCUGACGGAGCAAUACCGCGUGAGGGAAGACUGCCUAUGGGUUGUAAACCUCUUUUUUCAGGGAGGAAUAAAAUGACGUGUACCUGAAGAAUAAGCAUCGGCUAACUCCGUGCCAGCAGCCGCGGUAAGACGGAGGAUGCAAGUGUUAUCCGGAAUCACUGGGCGUAAAGCGUCUGUAGGUGGUUUAAUAAGUCAACUGUUAAAUCUUGAGGCUCAACCUCAAAAUCGCAGUCGAAACUAUUAGACUAGAGUAUAGUAGAGGUAAAGGGAAUUUCCAGUGGAGCGGUGAAAUGCGUAGAUAUUGGAAAGAACACCGAUGGCGAAAGCACUUUACUGGGCUAUUACUAACACUCAGAGACGAAAGCUAGGGUAGCAAAUGGGAUUAGAUACCCCAGUAGUCCUAGCCGUAAACUAUGGAUACUAGAUGUUGAACAGAUCGACCUGUGCAGUAUCAAAGCUAACGCGUUAAGUAUCCCGCCUGGGAAGUAUGCUCGCAAGAGUGAAACUCAAAUGAAUUGACGG